Molecule: unclassified non-coding RNA, 387 nt
Filed under: soil metagenome
Description: partial contains 5.8S ribosomal RNA, internal transcribed spacer 2, and large subunit ribosomal RNA
Rfam family: 5.8S ribosomal RNA (bases 1-120)
Source: RNAcentral
GAUGAAGAACGUAGCGAAAUGCGAUAAGUAAUGUGAAUUGCAGAAUUCAGUGAAUCAUCGAAUCUUUGAACGCACAUUGCGCCCAUUAGUAUUCUAGUGGGCAUGCCUGUUCGAGCGUCAUUAAUUCCACUUAAGCCCUGCUUAGUGUUGGGAAUCUACUCUAGUGGUGCUACCCUGGAGCUACCCCUGAAAGGGGGCUGGCCCGGUAGCUACCCUGUAGUUCCUCAAAGAUAGUGCGCGGAGUUGCGUGGUCCUCUGAGCUUAGUAACUAUACACCUAGCUUUUGAGUGUACAGCGGCGCCUGCCGUUUAAACCCCAUCUUUUAAUGGUUGACCUCGGAUCAGGUAGGAAUACCCGCUGAACUUAAGCAUAUCAAUAAGCGGAGGA